GCUGGUCUUUCACUGCACUAGCUAGAGAGAAGAAGAAAUUAUGCUGUCAAUUUUGAAGCUCUGAGCAAGUGGUCAAACUAUUUGUCUGUAUUGGUGGAGGCUGAAGACAUGAGUCCAUGGACAGGGACUACUGAGGAACCUUCAUCAAGAACAUUAACAAGAGAUACUACACGUAGGAACAGAGCCGACCGACGUGGAGACGGUUACUAUCGCUACUGAAGAGGUGGUACCCAGUUCACAGUUUGAGAUAGAGAUAAGUCAGAGUGAUGAUGGGGAGAGUGUGGAGCAGCUACAGGCCAGUGACUUGGGCCCUAACUUUGGCCUUGUGCAUGAUACCCAGGUAAUACACACACACACACUUCACACCAAGUAACAUAUAAAAACUAGCACUUAAAAACGCUUUUUUAAAGGUAUCCGGCUUCUAAGACGUUUCGUUUUCGUAUUAUUUUCCCUUUCUUAUUACAUGGUUAGAAUUUGCAUGAUGGUAACUACCUCCCAAAUAACGAACACACACACACACACACACACACACACACUUGUUGUUCCUGCCCACUCACACAGGAGGUCCACACGCUAACUAGCGAUGAUGGUUUGCCCUCUGACAUGACCUCUGAGGAUGGCUCCACCCUCAACGCUAUAUGCCACGCCCUCAUCCAAAUGCAGCAUGGUGGACAGACCACCCCCUUUCAGAGUCUGGCCAAAAAUUAAUGGUGAAUAAAGAAGGCCAAAUUUAUCAGUGUGACGAUUGCUUUUUUGCCAAAUCCAGAAGUUAUAGUCCUCGAUAAGUUAUCCAAGUGCUUGUACAUACUAAUUACAUGUAGAACCAUGAGUAUUAUUGCUAAUGUUUGAGGUUUCUUGGAAGUGGUGUUGAGUUUUUACUAUGUUGUUGUGUGUGUUCAGGUCCUCUGUAUGUGAUGAUCCCACCAUCCAGUAGUGCUGAGAUACUGCAUGCAAUGGGUUGACCUAUAGCACCCAAGAUGAGCGGGAUAUCAACUAUGGAUUAUCACACGGCCGACCCCAUCGUUCAAAUGCAGUUGUGAGUACACAGUUCAUGUGAUUGCCUACCUCUGCAUAACAUGUAUGACAGUAUGUGUUAGGGAAAGCAUCAUUCUUGCUACAUAUCGUAUUACUAGAAUAUUUUGCUGUUGGUGAAAAACCUUUACCAAUCAGCAACAAAGUUGAUCCUUUGCGAUUGUGCUAACUAUUGCGUUCUGGCAAUAAUCGUGUGUAUUUAUAGUCAUACUUUAGGUUUUGCGAUUUUAUUGUUGCGAAUUGAUCAACCCUCGCAAAAUGUGCAUAUGCUUGCAAAACAUUCUAGUAAUACGGUAACUGUGAGGAGUGUUGUUAUUAUGGUGGUUGGUUUGCAGGUCUGGGGAUAUGGCCGCCAACAGGGAAGCUCAGAGGAAGGCUACACACAAUGAAGGUGCUGCAAAUUCAAUACUGAAAGUUAUAAUGUACAACAGAUGUACAUGUACUUAUGUGGUCAUAAUCAAAUAGAAGCAUUUCCCACAAAAUACAGUUAACGAAGCUUUAAUAUCAAAUCUGCCACUUCUAAAACUAAUAACAUAUUUGUGUGGAGGCUAUCCAUCCAUGCUGUAAACGUCUUAGUGUGUGUGUCUGUUCAUGUGUGUACUAAAGUACUAUUGAAAGCCAUCGAAAUAUCUACUAACUUGGUUUUUUUUAAGCCUAAAUUUCCUAAUAUUAUUGCUAAGCAUGCAUUAUUGUAGAGCACAGUGUUAUGUUAGUUACUACUAGUAGCAUAGAAUCCAGCAGAGGCCAUCGUAUAUAACACAUGUAGUUAGUUGUACAUAAAAUUAAUAAUUUAUGCUAUUUUUUAAUAGCUAAGCAUGUUUUUUUGUUAUCUCCACGUUCAUGUCUCACCCUCACGUCAUGUUUCCUUGACUGCAGUAUGUGUACAGCAAGGGAACGGUACUGGACAAGACAGUCUGGCACCUUCGCAAGCACAACCUAUGCACUUGUCAGCUUCGUCACAAUUCUCUCCCCUCUUACAAUCAUCGCUGCCGACUGGAGCCUCUAAUCCAAACACACCACUCUUAAGCUCACUCGUACAAACUCUAUCCUCCAUUGCGAGCACGACCACUUCUCCGUCCACUCCUGUACCGAAAUCCUCCAUGCUGUCACAAGCCAACAACAAUGGCGGGGGUGGUGGUGGUGGUGGUCUCUCUGCCGCGGCUGCUGCUAGUCUGCUCAACACUCUGAUUCUGGCUCAGAAUGUGCUCACAAGCAACUCAAGUGCUGGUAGCCCCGGGCAAGAUUCAAUGUCUAUGGAAACGGUGGACCAAUCCUCUCAACAGUAGUGUACAGUAUAUUAUAAUUGUGGACUGUUUAUACUGUUCUAGUUUUAACGUGUGUUUUUUAGUAAUCUCUCCUUCACUUACUAUAGCUACAUUGUCAGUAUUAUUAUGUAUACAUAGUUUUUAUACAUGAUAUUUGUGUGGAGCUCUUUGAGAAAAAUAUUGUAGCAAAGCCCAUUUAUAUGUAACCACGCCCAUUAUAAUUAUGUGCAGCCUAGCCUCCAUCUCAAGCACUUCCUAGAAAGUUGGCCUGGUAAUCGACUGCUUGUGCAUGAGCUAACCAUUAGCUGGCAUUGAGAAGAACCUUCAUCAAGAACAAGGUACGUGUGUAUAAUGUGUAGUUAUGCAGUGCAAUGAGUUGACUGUGUACUAUUGAAUGUACAGUACAAAGAAUGGGAACCUAGCAUGCUUACUAGUCUGUAUGUACAUGCACUUGUAUACAAGGUAUGCUUCAAUGUAUGCAGUUUAGGUGUGUACAGGGAAACGUGUGUCAAUUGAGAACACUAGCUCACAAUAUUUGUACAUGACAUUGUACAGUACGUGUACCAGACCCUUCAUCACACUACCAGUUUGAAUGUGUCCAUGUGUUGUUUAUCCUGGCUACAGGACACUGCCGAGGGUAGCACUUCAGUGCUCUAGUUCUAAUUGUAGAUUGACUGAUCGAUUUGUCUUCUGUACUAUUGUUUGAUUUUUCCGGCCCCCAGUUAUGCGGCCAUUUUUCAGCCCGGCCAAGUGUUGAGGAGACAAGAAGAGGCACUGAGAAUGGAGGUAGAGGCGUACUAUGCUGCUAAGAAGGCCACUCAGUGUGACUAUGACCGUGUGACUCUUUAACCCCUCAGUUCCAUUAGGAUAACUGGGGGCCGGAAAAGAUAAGCCUACUAUGCUGCUAAGAAAGAGAGGGGCCUCACGUAAACUGGCCACUCAGUGUGACUAUGAUCAUGUGACUCUUUAACCCCUCAGUUCCCGAGCCCCACCCCUCACUGUCUGACUCGGAAGAGGAGAUAGACUUUGUAUUCUGGGAGAAGGCGUCCACCCUACCCUCGGACAAGACCCCAACCAAGGACUUGAACUUGUUAUGAGACUGUUAAAUAUUAUUUUGUCUGUUUUUGUACUAUUUUCUGGCAAUGUAAUUAUGUAUGUACCACUUCAUGUCAUCAUAAUAACUAUAAUUA
Molecule: long non-coding RNA, 3487 nt
Organism: Halichondria panicea
Lineage: Eukaryota; Metazoa; Porifera; Demospongiae; Suberitida; Halichondriidae
Exons: 3
Source: RefSeq, a predicted model, not a curated record